GCGUCAGUGUGUAUAAGAGACAGCCUACGGGAGGCAGCAGUGGGGAAUCUUGGACAAUGGGCGCAAGCCUGAUCCAGCCAUGCCGCGUGUGUGAAGAAGGCCUUCGGGUUGUAAAGCACUUUCAGUAGGGAGGAAGGCUUUGGGCUAAUACCCUGGAGUACUUGACGUUACCUACAGAAGAAGCACCGGCUAAUUUCGUGCCAGCAGCCGCGGUAAUACGAAAGGUGCGAGCGUUAAUCGGAAUUACUGGGCGUAAAGCGCGCGUAGGUGGUGUGUUAAGUCGGAUGUGAAAGCCCAGGGCUCAAC
This 306-nucleotide ribosomal RNA is filed under the name Mycobacterium tuberculosis. RNAcentral describes it as "bacterial SSU rRNA". It matches the Rfam family "Bacterial small subunit ribosomal RNA", at positions 307 to 613 of the family's 1533-position model. The record is from RNAcentral. Lineage: Bacteria; Bacillati; Actinomycetota; Actinomycetes; Mycobacteriales; Mycobacteriaceae.